Long non-coding RNA from Musa acuminata AAA Group (dessert banana), 926 nucleotides. RefSeq lists it as uncharacterized. The transcript is spliced from 5 exons. The record is from RefSeq and is a predicted model, not a curated record. Lineage: Eukaryota; Viridiplantae; Streptophyta; Magnoliopsida; Zingiberales; Musaceae.
GAGCCAAAUGAGUAUUCGGGAAACGUUGCUCUUAUAGGGUUUGCUAUCAGAGUUAGUAUGGCCUCCAUCACGUGGCUUCGCAAACUUCCAUCGGUGGGCGACAUCUCCCUGUCAACGACUGGCUACCGGCAGCCCUUCUCCUCCGGCGGACGAAACAAACAUGGAGAAAUCUCGGGACAUGGAAAACUUGAUAGAUUAGAAAUCAUGCUGUUUGUGCAGGAUGGAGAAGCUGCUUUUUGAGGCACCACCAGGAUACUAUUCAUUAUGUUAUAUAACCACAUCAAUCCAAUGGAAGUUUAUUAUACAAUGAGAAGUUCUGAAACUAUUAAGUAGUGCAAAGCUGGGCAACAUCAGAUCUGUGCUAUUUUUAACGGAAGGCAUUGCAAGCCGAAUAAGUUUGCCCAAAUUGCUACCUGGAGGAAUUAGAAAGUGGACACAACAUGAACCACUAACCACAGAGUGCAGCUAUUGGAGCACGUGGCUCAUCAGGAACUUUGUUGAGUUACCAUAUUGAGCAAUGAUAACUUGGGCAUCUCAAACAAGAGAGAGAGAAGAAAGGGCAAGAAUAUUGGAAACUAGUGUUGAUGAGGAAAUUUUGGUUUGCCGGUCGUCAAAAGAAUCCUGCAAUCGCAUAGGCACUUCUAGACGUGUGGCAUGUCUACAUAGAUAUGACCGUUAAGAAAAGUGGUAAAUUGUUCCUCAUGCUAUGAUAGAGGACGUCAUCUAAUCGUUGGUCAUCGAGGAUGAGAGACAGCAGGGACAUCUGGGAAACCUUUGAGCACCUCACCUAACCGCACAAGUCGUCAAAUUCAAUCGGAAAUUUAGCUACGGGGAUAUUUUCUUUACUGCAACAAUGAAAAAUUGUACUAGCUUUUUGGAUUAUUUAUUGGACAAAUUUUUGAAAAAAAAUCAUAACUUUGUGAUUU